RNAcentral lists this non-coding RNA (24 nucleotides) under Arabidopsis thaliana (thale cress). Lineage: Eukaryota; Viridiplantae; Streptophyta; Magnoliopsida; Brassicales; Brassicaceae. The record is from RNAcentral.
ACUCAAUAUCGAUGUCUGGUGUCU